GCUUUCCUCAGCACUACUAACACUCCUAGGAGCUAGCUAAGCCUUCUCUCCAAGGCUGUUGUCCUUGAGUCUCGUGCUGGAGAUUGAAGUCCCGGAAGGGAAGACAGGAAGGGAAGAUGGAGAUGAACACACCAUUAGGCUUAAGAAACUUGCUCAAGAUCACAUAGUAAAUAACUGGCAGAGCAGGACUGGAAACCAGACAAAUCAACUCAGGAACUGUGCAUAAGAACCAACAGAUUUGUCUAUGCAAAGGCAAAGAAUGGCUGCGUGGGUCCAGUGGAUUUAUUGUCACCUGGUGCAUCUGUCCACCAGCAGCCCAGUGUUCUGGCCAAUGGCACUGCUCCUCUAAGGCUGGCGUUGCCUCAAGGUGACUCUUUUCGGCAUAUAUUACCUAGAGGGGUACACAGUUGAGGGCCCGUGCAUCAGAGGAACUGAAGUACUACUCAGAAGAGGAGAGAGUCUGGAGGCACUACC
This is a long non-coding RNA of Mustela erminea (ermine), 474 nucleotides long. RefSeq lists it as uncharacterized. The record is from RefSeq and is a predicted model, not a curated record. Lineage: Eukaryota; Metazoa; Chordata; Mammalia; Carnivora; Mustelidae. The transcript has 3 exons.